UUCCCUCUAAAAGGAUUUACUUUGAGAAUCAGUGGCCUCCAUUUUCAGCAGUAGCGGAAGUGAUGAGAGUGAGGACUGGGGCCUGCUGGCAAGUAAGAAUACAAUAAAAUACAGUGAAAAACUUUCAGUUGUCACCGUGAAACAGCACCAUUUUGAAUAAUGUAAGAAUACAGGAGAAAAGAAAGACUCAGCUUGAAGAGAAUCUAUUAGUCCUGAGGCAGCUCAUCACUGUCAAUGAUGCCUGCAUCACCAUACCUCUGCAACCACUUUGCCACCAUCUACACCUGACCCGACGAACAUUGAAGUUGUUGAUCCUCAGGCGUCAUCUUUGCCGUUGGUUGAUUCUUCUCUGCCAUUGUGUCGUUUCCAACUAUGCCAGACCCAUCAAAGUCAAAGUUGUGUCUCUUGCUGCUGGGCCCACCUCAUCGAUGUUGCUGUGAGGACCUUCCAGCAUCUGCCAGCACUGAACUCAACCAACAAUUAAAUCAUUGAUCCUCAGGAGAUACCUUUUGCCAUUGGGCCUACCUCACAGUAUUGUCUCUGUCAAUGUAGCAGCCGCCGAUUCCAAGUGCUGUGCUUGCACAGUUGGAGCUCGCUUUCCUCCACCCUGGGCCCACUUGAGGUCCACACACUGGACCAGCCCAAAGUCCGUGCUCUGGGCUCUCGCUGUUGAUGCUGUCCAAGCUCAGGACAAGGUGUUUAAGUGAAUAAAGAAAAAGAAAAGCAGUUGGAGCUGUCAAGCUACUACACAGAGGCCCUACUCUGUUGCCAUUCCUAGACUGGCAAUGAGAGCAAAGAAUGCAAAGGGACUCCUCUUUGUCUCUCUCCAUCCACAGGGAAGGCACUGGUGAUCACAAAAUCACAUCAUGUCAAAAGAAGUGAAAACCUGAGGCAGACCAAAUGACCUGGCUGAAAGCAACCCCCUCUGAAUCUGAAAUGCACUAGGAAUAUAAUUAUCUGUCUAUUAGUAUUCCACAUGCAUAACUGCUGUUUUUGUGUGGACCAGACUUGGGUAGUUGAACAAAUAAAGGGUCAGCAAAUAUCACAGUACCCAUUCUGAAAAAGAAAGUGGUGGAAACAGAACUUUCAAGAAAAUAUAUAUAACUAUUAUUUUUCAAAGAUAAUGUCUACUAUUUUUAAAAAAAGUAUUCACAUCUGUCACCAUGACAACAGGCACUUUUUUUUUAGCAGAAGCUUGUUCACAUAGACAGGUUCUGAAGGAUUUUUCAGUAGAGCCUGUAUAGAUCAUCAAAAGUCACACUGUACCUGAAGUUAUCAUAGUUUAGAAUUCUUAUCCAGGAUUUAGAUACUAGCCUUAAUCAACUAUGAAAGUGGCAUGUCAGUAACUGAUACACAACACUCAUUACAUCCACAUUUAAUAUUUAUAUAAUUUAUGUUUAAUUUCAUCCAUUAGCUCAAGAGAAAAUUUGAACAAAAUAUCCAUCAUUCGUAAUUUAAGUCAUCCUCUACAUUAAUUGCAUACACCCACGGUUUCUAAUUCUUUCAUCUGAAGGUUUAAAAAUUAGUGUCCAUUUCCUGUCUCUAUCAUUCAAUUGCUAAUGCAUUUAACAAGCUGCAAAUAGUUGUAUAAUUUGACACACAAUGUUAUCUAUAAGGCUGUAAAUUUUAUUUUACAAAGAUUAAAAUAUAUAUGUCAAAAUAUUAUCUCUCCUGUCCCAAGGCUCAACAAUCUAAUUCCUAAUUUUUAGUGUAGUAUUGUAGCAGAUACAUGUAAAAAGAAUGGCUAUGGUGGCAAUGUAGCAAUUAUGUUAGAGAAUUAUGUAAUCCAGAGGCCUGGAAAAUGAUUGGUACAGUCCCACUGACAUAAUCAGCUGACAAAUCAGUCUCUUAAGAGACUAAUGCUAGAUAAGUAGCGGAUGAAUUUAAACUGAGGGACAAGCACAAGGCAAUCCACAUGAGCACCACAAUCAAGACCUUUAAUACCAUGUUAAAUAGACAUUCUGAGUAAAAUAUAUCCCUUCUCACUUCUAAUGUUAACUUUUAAAUUGUGGUCACUUUGAAUUUUAAUUUUUACGAGUGAGCUUCUGGUCUAUAUGAGUUUUUAAUCAAUCUAUCAGUCAUUUAUCUUCAAAUUAAGCAUAUGCAAAUGAUAAACAUAUGUAAAUACAAGCAAAA
Chiloscyllium plagiosum (whitespotted bambooshark) is the source of this 2136-nucleotide non-coding RNA. The record is from RefSeq and is a predicted model, not a curated record. NCBI's taxonomy places the organism in Eukaryota, Metazoa, Chordata, Chondrichthyes, Orectolobiformes, Hemiscylliidae.